This 573-nucleotide ribosomal RNA is filed under the name Notropis stramineus (sand shiner). RNAcentral describes it as "partial large subunit ribosomal RNA". It matches the Rfam family "Bacterial large subunit ribosomal RNA", at positions 1817 to 2597 of the family's 2925-position model. The record is from RNAcentral. Lineage: Eukaryota; Metazoa; Chordata; Actinopteri; Cypriniformes; Leuciscidae.
CGCCUCCUGCAAUAUAAAGUAUAGGAGGUCCAGCCUGCCCAGUGACUACGGGUUCAACGGCCGCGGUAUAUUGACCGUGCAAAGGUAGCGCAAUCACUUGUCUUUUAAAUAGAGACCUGUAUGAAUGGCUAGACGAGGGCUUAACUGUCUCCCCCCUCCAGUCAGUGAAAUUGAUCUAUCCGUGCAGAAGCGGGUAUAAUACUACAAGACGAGAAGACCCUUUGGAGCUUAAGGUACAAAAUUCAGCCACGUCAAGCAACUCCGUGGAAAGCAAGAACUUAGUGGCCGUGAAUUUUUACCUUCGGUUGGGGCGACCACGGAGGAAAAGCAAGCCUCCGAGUGGACUGGGCCAAGACCCCUAAAGCUAUAAGAGACAUCUUUAAGCCGCAGAACAUCUGACCAAUAAUGAUCCGGCUAAAAGCCGAUCAACGGACCAAGUUACCCUAGGGAUAACAGCGCAAUCCUCUCCCAGAGCCCAUAUCGACGAGGGGGUUUACGACCUCGAUGUUGGAUCAGGACAUCCUGGUGGUGCAGCCGCUAUUAAGGGUUCGUUUGUUCAACGAUUAAAGUCCU